CAGUAGCCGCGGUAAUACGAAGGGGGCUAGCGUUGCUCGGAAUUACUGGGCGUAAAGGGAGCGUAGGCGGACAUUUAAGUCAGGGGUGAAAUCCCAGAGCUCAACUCUGGAACUGCCUUUGAUACUGGGUGUCUUGAGUGUGAUAGAGGUAUGUGGAACUCCGAGUGUAGAGGUGAAAUUCGUAGAUAUUCGGAAGAACACCAGUGGCGAAGGCGACAUACUGGAUCAUUACUGACGCUGAGGCUCGAAAGCGUGGGGAGCAAACAGGAUUAGAUACCCCCGUAGUCCCUGUCUCUUAUAC
RNAcentral lists this ribosomal RNA (301 nucleotides) under uncultured bacterium. RNAcentral's name for it is "partial 16S ribosomal RNA". It matches the Rfam family "Bacterial small subunit ribosomal RNA", at positions 509 to 807 of the family's 1533-position model. The record is from RNAcentral.